Molecule: ribosomal RNA, 325 nt
Filed under: Staphylococcus sp. HMSC062D04
Lineage: Bacteria; Bacillati; Bacillota; Bacilli; Caryophanales; Staphylococcaceae
Description: bacterial SSU rRNA
Rfam family: Bacterial small subunit ribosomal RNA
Source: RNAcentral
UAAGACUGGGAUAACUUCGGGAAACCGGAGCUAAUACCGGAUAAUAUAUUGAACCGCAUGGUUCAAUAGUGAAAGACGGUUUUGCUGUCACUUAUAGAUGGAUCCGCGCCGCAUUAGCUAGUUGGUAAGGUAACGGCUUACCAAGGCAACGAUGCGUAGCCGACCUGAGAGGGUGAUCGGCCACACUGGAACUGAGACACGGUCCAGACUCCUACGGGAGGCAGCAGUAGGGAAUCUUCCGCAAUGGGCGAAAGCCUGACGGAGCAACGCCGCGUGAGUGAUGAAGGUCUUCGGAUCGUAAAACUCUGUUAUUAGGGAAGAACAA